This 935-nucleotide ribosomal RNA is filed under the name uncultured archaeon. RNAcentral describes it as "bacterial SSU rRNA". It matches the Rfam family "Archaeal small subunit ribosomal RNA", at positions 1 to 922 of the family's 1478-position model. The record is from RNAcentral.
UUCCGGUUGAUCCUGCCGGACCCGACUGCUAUUUGGGUGAGAAUAAGCCAUGCGAGUUGAAUGGGAUACCUAAAGUUCCCAUAGCAAACUGCUCAGUAACACAUGAUCAACUUACCCUAUAGAGAAAAAUAACCUCGGGAAACUGAGGAUAAUGUUUCAUAAUUGAAUUGGCUUGGAAAAGUUUUUCAAUGAAAAGGAUAAAAAAAAUGGUUUUUAUCUGCUAUAGGAUAGGAUCGUGUUCGAUUAUGGUUGUUGGUGAGGUAAUGGCUCACCAAGCCGAUAAUCGAUAGGGGCCGUGAGAGCGGGAGCCCCGAGAUGGGUACUGAGACAACGACCCAGGCCUUACAAGGCGCAGCAGGCGCGAAACCUCCGCAAUACACGAAAGUGUGACGGGGUUACCCAAAGUGUUCAAUUUUGAACUGUGGUAGGUGAGUAAUGUUCCCUACUAGAAAGGAGAGGGCAAGGCUGGUGCCAGCCGCCGCGGUAAAACCAGCUCUUCAAGUGGUCGGGAUAAUUAUUGGGCUUAAAGUGUCCGUAGCCGGUUUAGUAAGUUCCUGGUAAAAUCGGGUAGCUUAACUAUCUAUAUGCUAGGAAUACUACUAUACUAGAGGGCGGGAGAGGUCUGAGGUACUACAGGGGUAGGGGUGAAAUCUUAUAAUCCUUGUUGGGCCACCAGUGGCGAAGGCGUCAGACUGGAACGCGCCUGACGGUGAGGGACGAAAGCCAGGGGAGCGAACCGGAUUAGAUACCCGGGUAGUCCUGGCCGUAAACGAUGCAUACUAGGUGAUGGCACGGCCAUGAGCCGUGUCAGUGCCGUAGGGAAACCGUUAAGUGUGCCGCCUGGGAAGUACGGUCGCAAGGCUAAAACUUAAAGGAAUUGGCGGGGGAGCACCACAAGGGGUGAAGCCUGCGGUUCAAUUGGACUCAACGCCGGA